GAAAUGUGAUGUCUUACUGGCCCACUUGGUACAACCGCACCAGUGAAGCCCUUCAGACAUGUACUCCAGGAAAUUCUCACUGAAACUAUUGGAACUCUU
This 99-nucleotide long non-coding RNA is filed under the name Coturnix japonica (Japanese quail). RNAcentral's name for it is "lncRNA (ENSCJPG00005014536.1)". Lineage: Eukaryota; Metazoa; Chordata; Aves; Galliformes; Phasianidae. The record is from RNAcentral.